This 427-nucleotide ribosomal RNA is filed under the name uncultured bacterium. Its description in RNAcentral is "bacterial SSU rRNA". It matches the Rfam family "Bacterial small subunit ribosomal RNA", at positions 355 to 774 of the family's 1533-position model. The record is from RNAcentral.
UGGGGAAUUUUGGACAAUGGGCGCAAGCCUGAUCCAGCAAUGCCGCGUGCAGGAUGAAGGCCUUCGGGUUGUAAACUGCUUUUGUACGGAACGAAAAAGCUCUCUCUAAUACAGGGGGUGAAUGACGGUACCGUAAGAAUAAGCACCGGCUAACUACGUGCCAGCAGCCGCGGUAAUACGUAGGGUGCAAGCGUUAAUCGGAAUUACUGGGCGUAAAGCGUGCGCAGGCGGUUUUGUAAGACGGAGGUGAAAUCCCCGGGCUCAACCUGGGAACUGCCUUUGGGACUGCAAAGCUGGAGUGCGGCAGAGGGGGAUGGAAUUCCGCGUGUAGAAGUGAAAUGCGUAGAUAUGCGGAGGAACACCGAUGGCGAAGGCAAUCCCCUGGGCCUGCACUGACGCUCAUGCACGAAAGCGUGGGGAGCAAACA